This 308-nucleotide ribosomal RNA is filed under the name uncultured Planctomycetota bacterium. RNAcentral describes it as "bacterial SSU rRNA". It matches the Rfam family "Bacterial small subunit ribosomal RNA", at positions 29 to 351 of the family's 1533-position model. Lineage: Bacteria; Pseudomonadati; Planctomycetota. The record is from RNAcentral.
AAUGAACGUUGGCGGCGUGGAUUAGGCAUGCAAGUCGUGCGGAAAGGCUCCUUCGGGAGUACUCAAGCGGCGAAAGGGAGAGUAACGCGUGGAUAUCUGCCCCCUGGACUGGGAUAGCGGCGGGAAACUGCCGGUAAUACCGGAUAAAGUCUGCGGACCAAAGGUGUGAUUCCGCCGGGGGAUGAGUCCGCGUCCUAUUAGCUAGUUGGCGGGGUAAUGGCCCACCAAGGCGACGAUGGGUAGCAGGUGUGAGAGCACGACCUGCCUCAUUGGGACUGAGACACUGCCCAGACACCUACGGGAGGCAG